RNAcentral lists this long non-coding RNA (317 nucleotides) under Lathyrus oleraceus (garden pea). RNAcentral's name for it is "Pisum sativum (pea) long non-coding RNA (PSAT_LNC015243)". The record is from RNAcentral. Lineage: Eukaryota; Viridiplantae; Streptophyta; Magnoliopsida; Fabales; Fabaceae.
UAGAAGAUGACUCAAGUAUGUCCUUUGGAAUAGGCAAUGAGCAAUAAUAAACAAGCAAAGCAAAAGAAGAAAGUCAACAAAAGCGGAUACCGGAUGCCAAUUAUUGGACUUAUACCAAUCUCCUAAAACAGAACUGGAUAUCAGAGGCCACUCUAUGGACUUAUACCAAUCUCCUCAACAAGAAAUAAAAAGUGGAUACCGGAUGCCAAUCUAUCUGGGCUUAUACCAAUCUCCAACAAAGAAAGCAAACACUUGGAUGUCAGAUGCCAAUCUAUCUGGGCUUACUCUAACCUCCAACAUAUGAUCAUAGGAGAACA